RNAcentral lists this long non-coding RNA (4315 nucleotides) under Daucus carota (carrot). Its description in RNAcentral is "long non-coding RNA (DCAR_LNC004765)". The record is from RNAcentral. Lineage: Eukaryota; Viridiplantae; Streptophyta; Magnoliopsida; Apiales; Apiaceae.
GAGUUAGAAAAAGAUAAUUAAGCAUUAUAUAUUUAAGCUCAAUGAUUAAACAAAAUUAAAUAAAUAAUAGGAAAAUUAAUAAAUAAUAAUGCAUGAAAAAACUUGAUAUAUAUAUUAUAUAAAAGUAAGUUAUACUAGGAAUACUGAAAAAUGAUAUGAAAAUAUAUAAAUAGGAAUUUGAAACUGUGACAGCCCCAGAAUCCGGGGGUCUGGAUUCUGACGUCACCACACAAAAACCAUUUUAAAACCACUUUGAAAGCCUGUAAAAAUUUAUUUUUUUUUUUUUCAAAAGAUAAUAAAAUCAGAGAAUUUAAAACUUGAAAACAUUUAAUAAAAGAUUUGAAAGACGUUAACUAAAAGAUUUAAAAGAGAACAUCUUUACCCCCAAAACAACAGGAUCGCUUCCAGGUUACAGUAUUGAAAUUAGAAUCUACCACUAUUAUUACACAACAUCUCUUACCAAAUCAGAUCAUCCUCAAUAAGAAGAAUCACUGUCAACUAUUCCAGCUUGCACCAACCUCAUCAACUUUCCUGAACACUCCUCGACCACUGGAUCCUCAACUCUGUCUCCUCGCCUAGCAUUAGCCUUAUUCACAAUCUCAAUCAAUCAUCUCAUCUUUAAGCCUUUCUGAAAUGGUUAGAAAGGAAAAGCAAGGGUGAGCAACAAUGCUCAGCAAGUAAUAAUAAAUAAUGAUAGUUCUGAAAUGAUAUAAUAGGAGUUCACGAGUUCAAGAUAUAAAAGAUUCAACCUGAAUUCACAAAUUCAGGUAUUGUGUAAAAGAAUCACAAUACUUUGCAGCAAUGGAAACCUGAGGAAUUCAAUCCUUCAUAAGAGAAUUAUUGAAUUGGACUAUCAUAUUUAAUUAAAAACCAAGGUCAGGAUGCUGAUCAGUCAUACCUAACCCCGAGCAGGCCCCGCCAUGCUCUAUCACAGGAUCCAAGGCACUCAUUGGCCUAGCAUGACCACGAAUCUGGUCUGACCACUAAUUUGGUCCACAUAAUUUUUUUUUUUAAAAACAAUAAUCCAAUUCCAUAAUUCAAUUCAAGAAGCCAAUGUAAGUUAACAGAACAUAAUCAUAAUCAUCAUCAACCACUGAAUAAUUCCAAAUCAAACUUUGAUAAUAACUUUCCAUAAGUCACAGUCCAUCCUUCCAUAAAUCAUAGUUCAGGAAAUCCCUAACUAUUCAAUAUCCUCCAUUAUCGGCUAUUCAACUGAGUUUAGCCUGCUAAACCAGCAUGACAAUGGCGGUUUGAAUAAUCAAGAAGAUCCCAAUUCAUUCAAAGCUCUAACUAUCACUGAGCAACACAUGCUUCAAUGACAAUCUGAACUUCGAAUUAAUUUGUAAAACGGAAAUUAUCUGAAUUUUCGAGGAUUAGAAAAGGAUGGAUAAGAAUAUUUGCAUUUGCCAAAUAUGAAAAAGAAAGGAACGAAUAUUUGCAACACAUUCGAAAAGAAUGGAUCAGAAUAAUCGCAAGAUAUCCAAAAGAAGGGUAUAGGAUACUUGCCUUAAACCUGACUCCAGUCUCACAGCUCAUUCUCAUCUUUCCACUUUCACAAUCUCAUACUUUAUGCAUAUCAUAGUCUCUAGGCCAUCUCUGGCUAUACUCUAUCUACCGUACAUCUUCGCUUCGCUUACUUGAUUCAUCCCUUAUUCGCUUUGUAACACCACGUGACUUUCUGAACGUCUUCGGGCAUACACGUCUCGUCCAAAUCCUUAACGAGAAUAAGAUAAUACUAUAGUCACUAAUCAAUUUAUCGCAUGUACAUAUCACGUAUAUCGAUACCCACUUAUAUACCCCUUUAAACCUAUCACAUAUCACUUAGCACAUAGUCAUUCUUUGACUUUAUCAUAUAGUCAAGUCAUAUUCCACAUAACAUAUCACAAAUCAAUUAUCAUAUAAAUCCUAUCGAUAAUUUGGCAGCGUCUCGUCUAUUUGUAAGACUAUCCACAUGUCAACUUAUUCUCAAUCAACAACCAAUCAACCAAUUCCACUUCCUAUACUCCAUAUGUUCUUAUAUCAUAUCAGUCAAGUCAUGACACUAUGUCAUUCAAAUCAUUUAUCAUGUAUAUAAUAUCAAGAAUAAGCAUAUAUAUCACGUACUCAUCAAUUAAUAGCAAUCAAAUAACAUAUAAUCACAUUCGGCACAUUUCACAACAAUUAUUCACAUUCUCGACUCCAUCAUAUUAUUAUGUCAUAUCAAACUAGACUUUAUAAGCUUUCCAUGUCAUAUUGAAAUAGGCUUCACGAGCUUCUAUCUCUCUUUCGUUUCACUUGAUUCCGACUUACGGAUCAAAAGUUAUGACCAAAACCGUUUUCUAACUCCUCUAUCGGCACAUAACACAUCAAACUGAUAGCAGACAACACAUUACACAUAAGGUUUCUCAUCCCACUUGAUCUUAAAUCAAGUCUUGGGUUAAAAAUGAUUUUUCGGGAAUUUUCCAGAAUUUUUAAACAUUUUUCGGAAUUAAAAUCGAUAAAAGAAUCACUUUUCAAAUAAAUAAUCAAGUCCCAAAUACUUGAAAUUGGACUUGAAAUCAUUCCUAAACAAUUGUCGAGCCUUGAACAUAAUUUAGAAAAAUAUUUCAAAGCUCUAAACUAUUUUUCGGAAUUUUUAAAUCAAAAAGGAUAAUUAAAUCCAAUUAAUUAAUCAAUUAAAAUCCUAAACAAUUAUUAAUCAAUUAAAAUCAAUUAAUAAUUAAUUAAAUUAAUUAAUCAAUUAAUAUUUAAAUUAAUUGACCAAUUAAAUAAUUAAUUACUAAUUAAAAUUAAUUAAUAAAUCAAUUUAGAUUUAUUUUUGAAUAAACAAAUAAUUAAAAACUAUUUUUGAAAUUUAAAAUAAUUAAAUAAAACAAUUUUAGAAAAUUAAAUCAAAAGGUUUAUUUUGUAAACUUUUGAAAGUUUUUGGCCAAGGUUUAAAGUGUAACUUUCCAAAAGUUCCAGGGGCUAAAACGUCAAAAUUGAAACCAUAGUACUGAGACUUCACCACCUUCACAAGUCUGGGUACCAAACGGCAAUUUGCCACCGCCGGUACCCGACUUCGCCGGAAAGCCACCGGAAAAUGGCAUAACAGCCCCGAACUCCCUCAAAACGUGCAGAUCACACCUCCUAGUUAGCAGAAAUCAUUUCACAACCUCAACUCAACCCAUUCAUCGUUUAUUCAGCCGGAUUUUUGUCCGGAAAACAACCGCCGUCGAGUUCAUUACGAACUCCGGCGAACCCGACCCACGAAUCACACAUACAAUUUGAACACUGAAAUCGAUUCCUUGCAACCCAUAGAACAUGCCAGUAACCUUCAAUUCUUCCCAGAAUUAACGGAUUAAAAACCCCUAAUUUUCAAUUAAGAACAUUCAUAAUCCUUCAAGAACACUACUCAAUAAUCAAACCAACUUUUCUAUAUGUUAUGGAAGUCAAAAUUCAACAUAUAAUAUACCAAAACGACGAGAAAAACACGUUCUACAACAUGGAAUCAUCAAAACAAUCAAACAACCACGUUUGCAAAAAUUCACUAUUUAAAUCAUAUUAACUCGAAUUUUAAAACCCCAAUUCCUCCCUACCUGUGAAUCUCAGGUUGUUUUUGAUUGCAGAUAUAGGUUCUACUCUUCGAUAUCUUCGAUUUGACUAUUCGCACGCUUGAUUCUGACUCCAAUAACACCUUCAAAUCUUCGUUUGAUUAUGAAGAACACGAAGAACACCGCUCGGUUUCUCUCGAUAUUCGUGCAGAGAAACUGGUGAAAUGAUUUUACGGGUGAAAAUAAGCUCUAGAAAGGUAUAUUUAUAUUUACAAAUAAUUGGUACCCCUUUGGAUCGUUUAUGACAUGAAAAUACGUAUUUAAUAGCUUUAUAUUAAGAAAGUGGGGUCCAAUCGGUACUAGUUUUCAAGAUAAUCAUCAAAACGGGGCUUUUUAACUCAAUUAUUGGUCUGCGGGUCCCACUGCAAUUAUUACAUGAUAAGGAUGAUGAAAAUAUCUCAGUUCACGUUUAUCGAGACAAACUGGAUAAUUAUCGACAAUUUUAGUACCCGAAAAACUCCGCCGGACCGACUCCAGGGAAAACCGUACUCCGGAUCGAAAAAGUCAAAACACGAAAAGUGUCCGGAAUAUUCAAAUUAGGCUAAAGGUGAGUUUUGUUGAAACUUCCGGGAAGAAAAUUUGCCACCUCGUUACGAGUGAACGGUUUUACGGAAGUCAAAUAAUUAAUAAAUAAUUAUAAAUUUACACAAUUAAAUCCGUAAAUCGAUUAUAAAAUCAUCUAACAUUCCAUAAAUCAAUAUAAAAAUAUCCAAAUAAACUAUAUUUUCUCCUGAGCAUAUAGA